This 793-nucleotide ribosomal RNA is filed under the name uncultured Thermococcus sp. RNAcentral's name for it is "bacterial SSU rRNA". It matches the Rfam family "Archaeal small subunit ribosomal RNA", at positions 85 to 876 of the family's 1478-position model. The record is from RNAcentral. Lineage: Archaea; Methanobacteriati; Methanobacteriota; Thermococci; Thermococcales; Thermococcaceae.
ACGGCUCAGUAACACGUCGGUAACCUACCCUCGGGAGGGGGAUAACCCCGGGAAACUGGGGCUAAUUCCCCAUAGGCCUGAGGUACUGGAAGGUCCUCAGGCCGAAAGGGACUUAUGUCCGCCCGAGGAUGGGCCGGCGGCCGAUUAGGUAGUUGGUGGGGUAAUGGCCCACCAAGCCGAAGAUCGGUACGGGCUGUGAGAGCAGGAGCCCGGAGAUGGACACUGAGACACGGGUCCAGGCCCUACGGGGCGCAGCAGGCGCGAAACCUCCGCAAUGCGGGAAACCGCGACGGGGGGACCCCGAGUGCCGUGGCAACGCCACGGCUUUUCCGGAGUGUAAAAAGCUCCGGGAAUAAGGGCUGGGCAAGGCCGGUGGCAGCCGCCGCGGUAAUACCGGCGGCCCGAGUGGUGGCCGCUAUUAUUGGGCCUAAAGCGUCCGUAGCCGGGCCCGUAAGUCCCUGGCGAAAUCCCACGGCUCAACCGUGGGGCUUGCUGGGGAUACUGCGGGUCUUGGGACCGGGAGAGGCGGGGGGUACCCCUGGGGUAGGGGUGAAAUCCUAUAAUCCCAGGGGGACCGCCAGUGGCGAAGGCGCCCCGCUGGAACGGGUCCGACGGUGAGGGACGAAGGCCAGGGGAGCAAACCGGAUUAGAUACCCGGGUAGUCCUGGCUGUAAAGGAUGCGGGCUAGGUGUCGGGUGAGCCUCGAGCUCGCCCGGUGCCGUAGGGAAGCCGUUAAGCCCGCCGCCUGGGGAGUACGGCCGCAAGGCUGAACUUAAAGGAAUUGGCGGGGGAG